UCUACCCCUAGAGGCAUUGCAAAUGUGCCUGCUGUGUCAUAUGUACAUCAGCAGGUGGCACAGAGGAAAGCAACUAUGUCAAUGCUCAGUGUUCUGACCUAUGAACAGCUGAGUAAUUAAUAGCUUAAUGUU
Small nucleolar RNA from Rattus norvegicus (Norway rat), 132 nucleotides. Ensembl annotates it as small nucleolar RNA SNORA17. The record is from Ensembl. Lineage: Eukaryota; Metazoa; Chordata; Mammalia; Rodentia; Muridae.